CGUCACCACAGCUUCAGGCCUGGGGGGCUUCGGCCACUGAGAUGAGGGGUUCAGGCCAGGUUUCAGAGUCCCACCAGGCCUCCCUCUUGCAACAGAAGGAAAGUCCACACUGAGGAGGAUCAUGGCCUGCUACGGUCGAAGUGCAAGGCACGCGUCAGAAGCAGUGGCUCCUUCUGCAGCAGGACUCACCUACUGACUCAGAAGGACGUCCUCCAGGGACAGCCAGCUCCUCCUCUGAGCGCACAGCCCAUGUCCUCUGCUGUGCGCUCCUCGCGCGAACCGACCCCACCUCGGACCGGAAGCCACCUUGGGCUGGAGGAUGCCAUGAAGUCUCUCUGGUUCAACGUGCAUGCACCGUCUCACUUAACCUGGGUUACUCUGUAUGAGUUGCACAGAAAAGGCCAACAUGGACAUCUGAGGACAGACAGCACAGGAGUACAGGAACUAAUGCAAAUUGCAUGUGAAUGACAUCCCCAUGCAGGCCACUACUGACCACACUUACCCUCCCAUUUCACACACCUGCUUGGGACUAUCCUUCCUGGAGGCCACUGGAACUUCUGGAGCCACCUGCAGCACUUCUGAUGCAUUUCCUAGAAGCUUUUGCACCUGCAAGAGAAACGAGGUUGAAGCAGUGUUGCAGUGUUGGUAUUGCUGUGGUGUGACUUUGUUCUAGUUUAGGUUUAACAAAGUUAAACAAUAUACAUCCAGAUCCACGUUGAUAUGCUGGACAUAAGAUUGGGUUGUGUUUAGCUCUGAGUCACGCCCUGAAGAAACCCCUGCGAGGCAUCCUGUUUGCCUCUGUGAGUGGAGCGAGGGAGCCAGCUCCCUGAAUCAGCCCAUCUCCGAGGUGGCUCCGAACAUUGUUGCUGGAAGCUUAGAGUCCAGCCUUAUUCUCUAGUCCUUCCAACAAUUAAACCAGCUGAAUGUGGAUUCUCUUUGCAACUGAGAACCUAACUGACAGAGCUGGCCGCAUGUUCCUGGUCAUUGUAGAUCUUUGGGGAUGCCCAGGUGUGCAGAGGUAACUCCUGGUUGGUGACCCAUGAGGACACUUCCUAUGCAAACAUCAAGGAUGUCUACUUCGUGCCAUGUCGUGAAUUCUCAGGCACAGGCUUCCUGAGCAUCUACCAUGCGUCAAGCACUCUGCAAGGCACCAAAGGCACACAGGUAAUUAAGACAUGGUGCUGGCUCCUGGGAACUCACCAUCCAUGAGGCUCACAGAGGCAUCAUUUGACCAUUUUAGCACAAGAUGGUAAGUGUGAUGCUUGCGG
This 1268-nucleotide long non-coding RNA is filed under the name Homo sapiens (human). Its description in RNAcentral is "HSALNT0296759". The record is from RNAcentral. Lineage: Eukaryota; Metazoa; Chordata; Mammalia; Primates; Hominidae.